This 497-nucleotide ribosomal RNA is filed under the name uncultured bacterium. RNAcentral's name for it is "partial 16S ribosomal RNA". It matches the Rfam family "Bacterial small subunit ribosomal RNA", at positions 28 to 507 of the family's 1533-position model. The record is from RNAcentral.
GAUGAACGCUGGCGGCGUGCCUAAUACAUGCAAGUCGAGCGAACGGACGAGAAGCUUGCUCCUCUGAUGUUAGCGGCGGACGGGUGAGUAACACGUGGAUAACCUACCUAUAAGACUGGGAUAACUUCGGGAAACCGGAGCUAAUACCGGAUAAUAUUUUGAACCGCAUGGUUCAAAAGUGAAAGACGGUUUUGCUGUCACUUAUAGAUGGUUCCGCGCUGCAUUAGCUAGUUGGUAAGGUAACGGCUUACCAAGGCAACGAUGCAUAGCCGACCUGAGAGGGUGAUCGGCCACACUGGAACUGAGACACGGUCCAGACUCCUACGGGAGGCAGCAGUAGGGAAUAUUCCGCAAUGGGCGAAAGCCUGACGGAGCAACGCCGCGUGAGUGAUGAAGGUCUUCGGAUCGUAAAACUCUGUUAUUAGGGAAGAACAGAUGUGUAAGUAACUGUGCACAUCUUGACGGUACCUAAUCAGAAAGCCACGGCUAACUACGUG